This is a long non-coding RNA of Homo sapiens (human), 4705 nucleotides long. Ensembl annotates it as endogenous retrovirus group K13 member 1. Its record names the gene ERVK13-1. The record is from Ensembl. NCBI's taxonomy places the organism in Eukaryota, Metazoa, Chordata, Mammalia, Primates, Hominidae.
AGCGUGAGGGCCGCCGUUGCUGGAGUUCAGCUUAGGGAAGGAGGACUCUGAGGAGGCCCCGAGCGGCGGAGCGCUUCGGGGGAGGCGCCCGCGCAGACGCGAGGCCCAUAGCCAGGACCACCACCUAGCUGAUUCUUGAUGACAUUGGUCGGGAAAACUCGCCUUUCACGGCCCGGCCAAGGGGCAUUUGGGUGCUUUUGCUGCCCGUGGCUGUGCUCAGCGUUGUGGGAAGCCCCUGGGAGGCCGAAUGUGCAGGAUCACCGAGGGGAAAGUGAGCUUGACAGUUCUACAGUCUGGGGACGACGGUUUAAAAAUUUAUGCCUUGCAUGCGAUGUGCAGUGGGUGAUGGAAGAACGUCUACAUGGCUUUAAAAUUGGAUUUAAAAGGCAAAUAUUUUAAAUGAAGGAAAACCCAAGAAGUUUACUUGAUUCCUUAUCUUCCAGGAUGCGACUUUUGUUUAUUUAUUUAUUUUAUUUUGAUGGAGUCUCGCUGCCGUCGCGCAGGCUGGAGUGCAGUGACGCGAUCUUGACCCGGGAACCUCCACCUCCCGGGUUCAAGCGAUUCUCCUUCCUCAACCACCCGAGUAGCUGGGAUUACAGGCGUGUGCCACCAUGCCCGGCUAAUUUUUGUGUUUUUAGUAGAGACCGGGGAAGGUAUGGGCCCUCUUUUGAGAAAAAUGCAGAGUGACACUGAAUUUUGUAACUACAUCAGGAGGCUCUUGAACCUUCUGCAGCUCACUCGUGGAGUUUGUAGAGAUGCGUAAUAAUCCGAAGUGUUAAGGAAGAAGGUUCUGUUGAGAAAAAGUUGGAGGGCUGAAAGGGAUGCCUUUCGCUAUUUCGACAUGUGUGGCUGUACCCCAGAGUGCCCUGGCUAACACGCAAAACCAUGAAUUAGGCGGCUUGGCGAGGCUCAGUGGAGGCUGGGGCCGAGAGUCAUGUCAAAGUUUGUGGGGUUAACCUGCACCCAGUGACAGUCAUGGCGAAGUUUGUGAGGUUAACUCGCACCCAGUAACGCUGUUCCAAUGCAAGGUGUGUAUUUGGUGUCAUCCACGGGAAGAGGAAACAGCAAAUUUUCUCAUGGCCUUGGCAGUUCCACAUGAUGGACAUUUCAUAUCUGCAGUUUUCUUCGCAUGAGAUGGCUUUUUUGCACAAAAACACUGGAAUCCAGUGAGCAAGAAUGAUAGAAUGCAAGAUGGAUUUCCACAUGAGGAAGUGUCACGAACAAGCGUUUUGCAUCUCUGUCAGCUGGAUUCCCCCAUGUGUACGUAUGUGAGAACAUGCCGUGUUUCCUGUCUGUAAUGGUAGAGGCAGCCCUGAUACUGGAUUUUCACCUGAGGAUGGAUAGAUCUUCAGGGUUCAAGUGGGUUUGCAUCUGGACUUUAGGGUGGCCCUGUAGGCCCUGUGUGAGAAGCCCCCUUCCCAGUGAACUUUCCCUUGUGUGCCCGCGUGGACAGCCAACAGGGGGAGCAGUGCGAGCGUGAAGGCAGACAGUGGCCUGGCCCAGUCUGAUGGGAGAGACCCACCGACCCUGUGGGGCUGGUCCCUACAUCUGGCGCUCUGACGUGGGGCUCUCCCUCGCUGUGUGAAGUUGCACCCUGAGUGCGGGAUCAGCGGAGGAGUUCAACGAGAGAUUCCUGAGGAUUGCAGUCUAUAAACUUGGUGGAAAAGAACUACAGCCUGUGUGGGUCCCCUCCCGACAAUUAAAAUUGCACCAUAACUCCAAAGAUGAAACGCUCCCAGAAAGAAAAGGCAAAGACCCAUCGGAAACAAAAGAGCAACUUUCACCGCCUGAUACAUACACUUCAUGACAUCCACAUUGAGACAAAAUCUCGCCGUGUGACCUACAACACCUCUCGUUCAACCCCACCUACUUGGGGUCGAAUACAGAUUUUAUCUCAUCAAACAGAAAAAUUCUUAACAGAAAAAGGAAUCCCAAAAAUGACUGGUAAUAUAAUUCUGGCUGCCUUUAUGGUAGUCAGUGCAGCGGUAAGUAUACCACCGGUCGGGGCAACUCAAAAUUAUACUUAUUGGGCAUAUGUUCCUUUUCCCCUUCUAAUUCGGUCUGUCUCCUGGAGGGACUCUCCAGUAGAAGUUUACACUAAUAAUAGUGCAUUCAUGCCGAUCCCUAAUGAUGAUCGGUUUCCAGCUCAACCGGAAGAAGAAGGUAUGCACUUUAAUCUGUCAAUUGGCUAUAAAUAUCCACCAUUAUGUAUUGGGAAGUCGCCUGGUUGUUUAGCUUAUUCUUAACAGAAUUGGAUGUGGACUGUACCGUCCUUUACAAAUGAUUCUUAUCAAGUAUAUAAUGUGUUCAGUACUAACUCUUUUCAACUUCUCACUGUCAAACGUACCCCACAUGAGGCAUGGAGAGUUCCUCUCACUACCAAAACUAAUAAAACAAAAGGACUGCCGGACUGUCCAAAGAAACCUACAAAUGGGCCUUUUAUAGUGACUUCAAUUUUAUGGGAUAAUUGUAAUGCUCCCAAGGCUGUUGUACUCCAAACUCUAGCCAUGGGUAUUGUUAUUGAUUGGGCUCCAAAAGGACAUUAUUGGCAAGAUUGCUCCAGCAAAAAUACCUUAUGCUCGGAGUUUAUUUAUUCCUUAGAUUAUAUAGAGCAUGGGUGGCAGUCUUACACGAUGAGACAACGGGUGUCUCCUUACCCAUUUAAAUGGAUGGACACAGGUAUUGCUCCUCCUAGACCAAAAAUUAUUCAUCCCUUUUUUACCCCAGAACAUCCUGAACUAUGGAAAUUAGCUGCAGCUUUGUCGGGAAUAAAGAUAUGGAACACUACCUAUCAGCUCCUUCGUACUAAAACCAAAACACCCACAUUCAACAUCACCCUUAUUUCUGAAUGGGUGAUACCCAUUAGGAGCUGUGUCAAACCCCCUUACAUGCUGUUGGUUGGAAAUAUAAUUAUGAUGCCUGAUGCACAAACUAUAGAAUGUCAUAACUGUAAGCUGUUCACUUGCAUUGAUGCAACUUUUAAUCCCACUACAAGUAUUCUCUUGGUAAGGGCUAGGGAGGGGGUAUGGAUACCAGUUUCUCUACAUCGUCCAUGGGAGUCUUCCCCCUCUAUUCACAUAGUCAAUGAAGUUCUUAAAGACAUCCUCAAAAGAACAAAGAGAUUUAUUUUUACUCUUAUUGCAGUCCUUGCAGGACUACUUGCGGUUACUGCAACAGCAGCAACUGCUGGAGUUGCCAUCCGCAGUUCUGUUCAAACUGCUCACUAUGUUGAAGCAUGCCAGAAAAAUUCCUCCAGACUUUGGAAUUCUCAGGCGCAAAUUGAUCAAAAAUUAGCUAAUCAGAUUAAUGAUCUCCGCCAAAGUGUAACCUGGCUGGGAGAUAGAGUUAUGAACUUGCAACACCGUAUGCAAUUACAGUGUGAUUGGAAUACUUCUGAUUAUUGCAUAACGCCUUAUGCUUAUAAUCAAGAUCAACAUAGCUGGGAAAAUGUCUCAAGACAUUUAAAAGCCUGGGAUGAUAACUUAACCUUGGAUAUUUCACAACUUAAAGAGCAAAUCUUUGAGGCUUCACAAGCCCAUUUAUCCACAGUUCCUGGCUCACACAUUUUUGAAGGCAUAACUAAACAAUUACCUGAUUUUAAUCCCUUCAAAUGGCUCAAACCCGUCAGAGGAUCAUUGUUGUUACUGGCAUUAUUAAUAUUGGUAUGCUUAUGUUGUCUCCUUUUAGUCUGCAGAUGCCUCUAAGGAGUCCGAAACCAAGUCCGAAGUCAACAACAAGCAAUGAUGGCGAUGGCGAUUCUAGUUAAUAAAAAGGGGGGAGAUGUGGGCGGCAAGCCACCCAGGCACCGAGGCAAGAGACAGAGGACACGAGCUGUUCCAGUAUAAUAAAAUAUAAAACAAGAAUAGUUAUACCAGAUAUAGAUCUUAGAUAUGAUUAUAUACGAAUAUCAUUAAUCAUGAGUUUGUAGCAAUUACUUUUUAUUCCAAUAUUAUGAUAAUCCUCGCUCUAUAAUCAUAGCCUAGGAAAAACCAGGCCAUACAGAGAUAGGAGCUGAGGGGACAUAGUGAAGUGUGACCAGAAGACAAGAGUGCGAGCCUUCUGUUAUGCCCGGACAGGGCCACCAGAGGGCUCCUUGGUCUAGCGGUGACGCCAGCGUCUGGGAAGACACCCGUUACCAGGCGGAUCGUGGCCCAGCCGUAGCAAAAGGUGUCAAGGAACACCUUUUGCAAAAGGUGUCAACACCCGCUACUUAGCAGACUGGGAAAGGGGGGCGGUCUCCCUUUCCCCGGGGGAGUUUAGAGAAGACUCUGUUCCUCCACCUCUUGUGGAGGGCCUGACAUCAGUCAGGCUUGCCCGUAGUUAUCCGGAGGCCUAACUGUCUCCCUGUGAUGCUGUGCUUCAGUGGUCACGCUCCUAGUCUGCCUUCAUUUUCCAUCCUGUACACCUGGCUCUGCCUUCUAGAUAGCAGUAGUAAAUUAGUGAAAAUACUAAUAGUCCCUGAUAUGCAGAAAUAAUGGCAUAAGCUGUCUUUCUCUCUGUCUCCUCUCCCUCUCUGCCUCGGCUGCCAGGCAGGGAAGGGCCCCCUGUCCAGUGGACACAUGACCCAUGUGACCUUACCUAUCAUUGGAGGUGACUCACAUUCUUUACCCUGCCCCUUCUGCCUUGUAUCCAAUAACAGCGCAGUCAGACAUUCAGGGCCACUACCGGUCUCCGCACAUUGGUGGUAGUGGUCCCCCGGGCCCAG